CGGGGGGCUGCAGUAACGAAUCUUGGGCAAUGAGCGAAAGCUUGGCCCAGCGACGCCGCGUGUAGGAGGAAGUCCUUCGGGAUGUAAACUACUGUCAGGGGGACGAAAGUGCGCUUCGGCGCAUUGAUCGAACCCAGAGGAAGUCACGGCUAACUUCGUGCCAGCAGCCGCGGUAAGACGAAGGUGGCAAGCGUUGUUCGGUAUCACUGGGCUUAAAGCGUGUGUAGGCGGAAGCGCCAGCGUUUUGUGAAAUCCCCCGGCUCAACCGGGGAAUUGCUUGACGAACUGCGCUUCUUGAGGCAGGUAAGGGUGCGCGGAACUCUUGGUGGAGCGGUGGAAUGCGUAGAUAUCAAGAGGAACGCCGGUGGUGAAGACGGUGCACUGGGCCUGACCUGACGCUGAGACACGAAAGCGUGGGGAGCGAACGGGAUUAGAUACCCCGGUAGUCCACGCCGUAAACGAUGUCUACUAGGUUGUGGCGGUUCUGACGCCGGCACAGCCGAAGCAAAAGUGUUAAGUAGACCGCCUGGGGAGUACGGUCGCAAGGCUAAAACUCAAAGGAAUUGACGGGGGCUCACACAAGCGGUGGAGCAUGUGGAUUAAUUCGAAGCAACGCGCAGAACCUUACCUGGGUUUGACAUGCUUGGAUGCCGCCCUGGAAACAGGGUUGGCUGCCUUCGGGUGAAACUUGCACAGGUGCUGCAUGGCUGUCGUCAGCUCGUGUCGUGAGAUGUCGGGUUAAGUCCUUUAACGAGCGAAACCCUUACCGUUAGUUGCCAGCGGGUCAGGCCGGGGACUCUAACGGGACUGCCGGUGUUAAACCGGAGGAAGGUGGGGAUGACGUCAAGUCAUCAUGGCCUUUAUGCCCAGGGCCUCACACGUGCUACAAUGGUCGGGACAGAGCGACGCGAGACCGUGAGGUGGAGCCAAUCGCAAAAACCCGGCCCCAGUUCGGAUUGCAGGCUGGCAACUCGCCUGCAUGAAGGUGGAAUCGCUAGUAAUCGCGUAUCAGCUAUGACGCGGUGAAUGUGUUCCUGAGCCUUGUACACACCGCCCGUCAAGUGAUGGGAGUUGGGAGUACCCGAAGUCGGGUUGCUAACCC
Molecule: ribosomal RNA, 1102 nt
Filed under: uncultured organism
Description: bacterial SSU rRNA
Rfam family: Bacterial small subunit ribosomal RNA
Source: RNAcentral